GACGAACGCUGGCGGCGUGCCUAAUACAUGCAAGUAGAACGCUGAAGAGAGGAGCUUGCUCUUCUUGGAUGAGUUGCGAACGGGUGAGUAACGCGUAGGUAACCUGCCUUGUAGCGGGGGAUAACUAUUGGAAACGAUAGCUAAUACCGCAUAACAAUGGAUGACACAUGUCAUUUAUUUGAAAGGGGCAAUUGCUCCACUACAAGAUGGACCUGCGUUGUAUUAGCUAGUAGGUGAGGUAACGGCUCACCUAGGCGACGAUACAUAGCCGACCUGAGAGGGUGAUCGGCCACACUGGGACUGAGACACGGCCCAGACUCCUACGGGAGGCAGCAGUAGGGAAUCUUCGGCAAUGGGGGCAACCCUGACCGAGCAACGCCGCGUGAGUGAAGAAGGUUUUCGGAUCGUAAAGCUCUGUUGUAAGUCAAGAACGAGUGUGAGAGUGGAAAGUUCACACUGUGACGGUAGCUUACCAGAAAGGGACGGCUACUACGUG
Molecule: ribosomal RNA, 496 nt
Filed under: uncultured bacterium
Lineage: Bacteria
Description: partial 16S ribosomal RNA
Rfam family: Bacterial small subunit ribosomal RNA
Source: RNAcentral